GCGAAACACGUGAGAAACCUGCCCCAGACUUGGGAAUAACAGUCGGAAACGACUGCUAAUACCGAAUACCUUCGGAUCGUCGCAUGGCGGACCGAAGAAAGCUUUUGCGGUUUGGGAGGGUCUCGCGGCCUAUCAGCUUGUUGGUGAGGUAAUGGCUCACCAAGGCAUCGACGGGUAGCUGGUCUGAGAGGAUGAUCAGCCACACUGGGACUGAGACACGGCCCAGACUCCUACGGGAGGCAGCAGUGGGGAAUAUUGCACAAUGGGCGAAAGCCUGAUGCAGCAACGCCGCGUGCGGGAAGAAGGCCCUAGGGUUGUAAACCGCUUUCAGCAGGGAAGAAACUGACGGUACCUGCAGAAGAAGGUGCGGCCAACUACGUGCCAGCAGCCGCGGUGACACGUAGGCACCAAGCGUUGUCCGGAUUUAUUGGGCGUAAAGAGCUCGUAGGCGGUUCAGUAAGUCGGGUGUGAAAACUCUGGGCUCAACCCAGAGACGCCACCCGCUACUGCUGUGACUUGAGUACGGUAGGGGGGCGGGGAAUUCCUGGUGUAGCGGUGAAAUG
Molecule: ribosomal RNA, 563 nt
Filed under: actinobacterium MS-F-71
Lineage: Bacteria; Bacillati; Actinomycetota; Actinomycetes
Description: bacterial SSU rRNA
Rfam family: Bacterial small subunit ribosomal RNA
Source: RNAcentral